AUGGUGUGGUCCGUCCGCGUCCCACUGAAGAUUCGCAUCUUCAUGUGGCAGUGGAUCCGUGGACGGGUCCCGUCCAGCGUGGAGGUCCGCAAGCGAAAUGGCCCGGGCACUGGUAUCUGCCCCCUCUGCGAUGUUCCUGAAGACUCCAAUCACAUUUUCUUCGCUUGCGUUUCCGCCUGGUUCCUUUGGAGCUGCUUUCGCGAGAUUGUCGGUGGGAGUUGGUGCCACACCAAUUUCCCGGACCUUUUUGCUGAACUUCAAGUGUCCCCUACGACCUCUCGCCACAUUAGGUGGCUGGAGGUUGGGGUCCUUGCCUGGACGCUGUGGACCGUUCGCAAUAAGCUUGUGAUCCAACGUUCUCCCCUCCAUCGCGCUACUGAUGCUCUCUACAAAUUCUCAGGUUUCUUGCAGCUUUGGCGGCCGCUUAGCCGCCCCCCGGAUCGGGACGCCAUCUCAGCCUUCAUCACCGAUCUUCGCUCGAUGGCCGUCCGCCUGGCGCCCCCCCCCCCCGCCGCCGCCGGAGCCAGACUAGAUCACCUGCGCUGGGCAGGCAGGCUUUGCUGUGUUGUGUUUUUUCUCUUUCUUCUGGGCUUGUUGAGCUGUGCCCUCAGCAGAACCUCUGUACUUUGUUUGUGGUUCUUGGGUGGUGUGUGUGUGUGCACCUGCUUUGGUUGUAUGUCUUGUGGCGGUUUGCUUUAUUUAUAA
This 705-nucleotide ribosomal RNA is filed under the name Triticum aestivum (bread wheat). RNAcentral describes it as "partial small subunit ribosomal RNA". Lineage: Eukaryota; Viridiplantae; Streptophyta; Magnoliopsida; Poales; Poaceae. The record is from RNAcentral.